AGCCUUGACUUCAUCACACCUGCAAAGUCCCUUUCGCCAGUGUACAGAAGAGCCCAGCUAAUUCGGUGAGACAAGAAAGGAAGCGAGAAGGACCAAGACUGAAAAGAGAAAAUCUCUCAUCUGCGAUCUAUGUGAUUAUCUGCCUAGAAGAUCCAAGAGACUCAAAGGGUCAUGUUGGAUGCCUGCCAUGUGGUAGGCAGGCCCUUUCCAGACACUUAAUAGAAGAUGAAGGAGCAGCUCCGUCCUCAGAGAGCUCCCCUGGCGAUGUGAGGUCCUGGCUUGAGGAGAAUGCGAGGAAACAGAAAGAAGUCCAUGAGAUUUCAGCUGGGGCCCUCUUUGGAUUUUCCAGAGUUACAUCUGCCGUCUGGGUCCAGAGGCUGCUUCGCCAGCAGAUGUGAUUAAUCUAGAGGAGGUGACAGCCACACAAGGCUGGCAUACCUGUAUGUGAUCAUGUAGCUACAUUAGAGGUCAUGGCUAACUCUGACCCCCUUCUCUGAUACUUGGUUCAAGCUUCUGCUUCAUACAUAGUUCAGAAUCACGUGGAGGAGUAGAAAGAACAGAAGAGUUGGCACCAAAGAGACCUGGGUUUAAAUCCUGCCUCCAUCCCUUCCCUUGCUAGGUGGGUGAUCUUUCAUUAAUUGAGCAAAUAGCGUCUGAGUGCCAACUAUAUGCUGGGCACUGAGAACACAGAGGUGAAUGAGACAGACAGAGCCCACCUCCUCUCAUGGAACUUACUCUCUGUAGGGAGGCACACAAAGACCCAAUGGUGGUAUUAUGAAAGAAAUAACCAGGGGGUUAUGGCAGAGAAUUAACAGUGGUGGGGAGAGAGGAGGUCCCACUGAGGUAGGAUGGUUGGGGAAGGCCUCUCUGUGGCAUUUAAAUUAACACUCAAAACUGAGGUAGAGCCAAUCAUGAAGGGAGGGGAAAGCCUUCUAAGCAGUGGGAACAGUAUGUGCAAAGGGCCCGAGGUGGGAAAGAGCCUGGCUUGGUGAGAAACCAAAAGGAGGCCAGAAUUAUCCCAACAUGGUAGGAGGGGCAGAGAGUGGUGAGAAGUAGGUCAGAGAGGAGAGCAGGGGCCAACAGGAAGCACUGGAGUUCAGGUGAAGUGCAAGAAGCCAUGGGAAUUUUAAGCAGGGGAGGGACACAGUUUGAUUUUUAAAUUAUUGUGGUAAAAUACACAUAACAUAACCAUUAUAAAGUACACAGUCAGUGGCAUUCGGUACAUUCACAAUGUUGGACAGCGCUCACCACUACUCAGUUCCAGAACUUUUCUGUCAUCUCAGAAGGACAUCUGGUGCCCAUUAAAGAGUUGGUCUCCAUCCCCACUCCCCUCCAGCCCAAAGGUCCCACUGACCUGCUU
Leptonychotes weddellii (Weddell seal) is the source of this 1360-nucleotide long non-coding RNA. RefSeq lists it as uncharacterized. The record is from RefSeq and is a predicted model, not a curated record. NCBI's taxonomy places the organism in Eukaryota, Metazoa, Chordata, Mammalia, Carnivora, Phocidae.